This 108-nucleotide ribosomal RNA is filed under the name uncultured eukaryote. Its description in RNAcentral is "partial small subunit ribosomal RNA". It matches the Rfam family "Eukaryotic small subunit ribosomal RNA", at positions 1676 to 1785 of the family's 1831-position model. The record is from RNAcentral.
UCGCACCUACCGAUUGGAUGGUCCGGUGAGGCCUCGGGAUUGUGACCAGUGCCUUUAUUGGUGUUGGUUGCGAGAACUUGUCCAAACCUUAUCAUCUAGAGGAAGGUG